RNAcentral lists this ribosomal RNA (519 nucleotides) under Bifidobacterium longum. Its description in RNAcentral is "bacterial SSU rRNA". It matches the Rfam family "Bacterial small subunit ribosomal RNA", at positions 163 to 697 of the family's 1533-position model. Lineage: Bacteria; Bacillati; Actinomycetota; Actinomycetes; Bifidobacteriales; Bifidobacteriaceae. RNAcentral also lists the same sequence under 1 other name. The record is from RNAcentral.
GUAAUGCCGGAUGCUCCAGUUGAUCGCAUGGUCUUCUGGGAAAGCUUUCGCGGUAUGGGAUGGGGUCGCGUCCUAUCAGCUUGACGGCGGGGUAACGGCCCACCGUGGCUUCGACGGGUAGCCGGCCUGAGAGGGCGACCGGCCACAUUGGGACUGAGAUACGGCCCAGACUCCUACGGGAGGCAGCAGUGGGGAAUAUUGCACAAUGGGCGCAAGCCUGAUGCAGCGACGCCGCGUGAGGGAUGGAGGCCUUCGGGUUGUAAACCUCUUUUAUCGGGGAGCAAGCGAGAGUGAGUUUACCCGUUGAAUAAGCACCGGCUAACUACGUGCCAGCAGCCGCGGUAAUACGUAGGGUGCAAGCGUUAUCCGGAAUUAUUGGGCGUAAAGGGCUCGUAGGCGGUUCGUCGCGUCCGGUGUGAAAGUCCAUCGCUUAACGGUGGAUCCGCGCCGGGUACGGGCGGGCUUGAGUGCGGUAGGGGAGACUGGAAUUCCCGGUGUAACGGUGGAAUGUGUAGAUAU